AAAAAGGGCUUCUGCCGUGCGUGGCACGGGGGGGCCCCGCGGCCGCCCCCGCGGAAUCGGCAUCAAGAGAUUUCGGAAGCACAAUUUUUGUAUGCGGGGGCCGCCGGUAACCGUGCGUUCCGGCGCCCCG
This 130-nucleotide small nuclear RNA is filed under the name Melopsittacus undulatus (budgerigar). RNAcentral's name for it is "U11 spliceosomal RNA (ENSMUNG00000011339.2)". It matches the Rfam family "U11 spliceosomal RNA". Lineage: Eukaryota; Metazoa; Chordata; Aves; Psittaciformes; Psittaculidae. The record is from Rfam by way of RNAcentral.